AGAACGACGCCUUGCACCCUACCUGCAGGGCUCAUCUUCAAGCAUCAGUGCUAGCGAGUACGUUUUUCAACGUCACGUGUCUCUGUUGUGUUACCUGUAAAGCAGGUUGCUCAACUGGCUUAAAUUUGUCGCCAUUUGUGCUUGAUCACUUACGAACUGGGUGUCUUUGUCAUCAAUCAAUCAGAAUUGUCUAAUCAGGAUUUCAUAGGAGCUCCAUGUGACUCUGUCUUUGCCAGGCGCUUUCCGACUGCACGUCGGUUCAUGAUCAGUUUCUGCCGUGCAUUUGAAGUGACGGUUCUCAAACGUUCUAAUAAUAGCCCACACACAUACUGUGCCAGUUCUGCUAAACUAUGGAGUCAAAACGGGAAGAAUUUCGAAAGUACCUCGAAAAGGGGGGUGCCUUACAGGCGCUAAGCUGCGCGUUAUCUCAUCUGUAUGAGAUGCCGGAAAAGCCUUCAGACCCUUUGCUCUUCAUUCAGGAACGCCUAAAGCAGUGCGUAGAAGGCGGCAAGUUGAGCGAAGUGCCCCCCGCUCCGCCUACGGAGCCGAUAGAUCAGACGGAAGCGCAGUCAGGAAGUAGAGAUUCGGGCCUCAUCGACAACAGUGUAAAUACCCAGUGAUCUGAAUGGCUUAAUUGAUGGGGAUGGAUCGCUAAUUCACUUGUAUUGUUGGAGCAGAUCGGGUUGACAUUUAGGCCAAGAUGAAGUCCUGCUGCCAUUUUUCAUGCGUGAUCAUUGCAACAAAUGCAAAGUUUACAGACGUACGCAACGUGCUUAGAUCUCUCCUAGACACAGCAACAGAGGUCAAAAAGUUCUAAAUGCUUCAUUCACCAAUCCGUUAUAGGAACUGUAGUAGUUCAGAAAUAAUAACUUCACGUUUUGAAUUACACGGCUUUCUCUGUUGGCCUAUUUAGAUAUGCUAUUUCUCAUUAAACUUCAUAAGGAAAAUAUUCAACGGUUUGCAUAUUUUAGAUAGGUAAGUAAACCGCUGAAUUUCGUAAGGGUAUACAUUUCUUUUUUAUGAAGAAGAUUUAAAAAGUUCUUUUUUUUUGACGAUGAAUACCAUCUUUUCUUCAACUUAGAGAUUAUUUGGAUUAUAUUACCAGCUUUAGAGUUGAAUUCCAUCAUUACUUUAUUAUAUUUAAUAGAAGAGGUACUUGGGGCGAUUAUGUGUUAAGACUAUUGGGCACCAGAAUAUUGGAUGGACGUAUGAAUACACAUGUUUUAAUUACUUUUUUUUUUGUUUUUUAAUUAAUGAGAUAAUUAACAAUUUAUUUAGAAUUAAACUAAUAAUUAAGAUAGAAGUUUAAAAAGGUAAUUAAUCUUUGAAAUUCGUGAAGUAUAUAUAUAUUGUAUAAGAGCCAGAGUCACUUCCAUAUA
This is an RNA transcript of Varroa destructor (honeybee mite), 1379 nucleotides long. It is a transcript of the gene named c-Myc-binding protein-like, with no coding region annotated. The record is from RefSeq and is a predicted model, not a curated record. Lineage: Eukaryota; Metazoa; Arthropoda; Arachnida; Mesostigmata; Varroidae.